UCAAGAAGUAUUUUGAAAUAAAUGUACCCAAACCUAAUAAAAAUGGGGGGAAAAUAGAAGUCACUGAACUAAGCUGACUGCUUGGGUUAAUGCUUUUGA
Molecule: long non-coding RNA, 99 nt
Organism: Lontra canadensis (Northern American river otter)
Lineage: Eukaryota; Metazoa; Chordata; Mammalia; Carnivora; Mustelidae
Exons: 3
Source: RefSeq, a predicted model, not a curated record